GUAGAUUUCAAAGUUCUCAUUACAGGGAAAAAGUUUUAACAGUGUGUGAUGAUGACUAAACUGAGUAUACUAAUCAUUUUACAAUAUAUAAGUAUAUGAAACACCAUGUUGUACAACUAAAUCUCAUGCAAUGUUAUAUGUCAAGUCUAUCUCAAUAAAACUGGGGGAAAAUAGGGGAUGACAAUGUAGAAAGAACAUUUGAUGCAGUUCCUUAUUGAUUACGUGUGGGUACAUUCAUUGUUAAAUUAUCUGGCAUAUUUUUCUCUUCCUGGGCUCCUUGGAGGAAGGAGAAUCGAAGUUUAGGUCUAUGUGUUCUGAAAAUCACAACUUGAAAAGUGUGUCUCAAACUGACCACCUGAGAAUAAAGAGGGAAGGAAACAGACUUCAGGGGAAGCUUAGAGGUCUUUGGAAGAUACAUCACACAUUCAGCUGCUCAGAGAAAACUAUCAAUAUUUGCCAUAGUGAAGAAAAAGAAGAUUUACUUAUUUAAGAGUUUUUUAGUGAG
This is a long non-coding RNA of Enhydra lutris kenyoni (northern sea otter), 505 nucleotides long. RefSeq lists it as uncharacterized. The record is from RefSeq and is a predicted model, not a curated record. Lineage: Eukaryota; Metazoa; Chordata; Mammalia; Carnivora; Mustelidae. The transcript has 3 exons.